RNAcentral lists this long non-coding RNA (701 nucleotides) under Heterocephalus glaber (naked mole-rat). RNAcentral's name for it is "lncRNA (ENSHGLG00100047111.1)". Lineage: Eukaryota; Metazoa; Chordata; Mammalia; Rodentia; Bathyergidae. The record is from RNAcentral.
CCGCCACUCACAAAUGCAGGUGCCGAGCCAGACAGCAGGUGCGUGACCAAGGAAGAGGAGACCCACCCUGUGUAUGUCAUGCUAAUUGUGACACUUUCCGGGUCACAGUGCAGCCAGCAAUACUGUCCCUCUGUGCCCUUUGUAUUCCUGGAGGAAGGAGCUUCUCAGGCUGGCGACUUCUGCGGCUGUCCUGCCCUCUGCUGGCCAGCGAGGCUGACGCACCGCGGAGCUCCACACGUCCAGGAUGACGCCAACUGCUUACCACUAGGGAAGACUUAACUUCUCAAGACUAUUACAUUUUAAAACAGAGACUCAGUCGUUUUCUGACCAGCAUCUGUAAUGGCUCCGUGAACUCUCUCAUGCCGGAGGCCCUUCAGUCUCAUGCGUUCUGGCUGAAGUGAAGAUGGAGACGUGGAGUAGGAAUGUCACGUGACACAAGCUGCAUGGGGAAGUCAUACUUCUUCGAGGUCACAGGGCCUCGAGUCUGAUUUUGAAGGCUACGAAUUCCUCAUGCUGUGGCCCCAGAACAAUGAGGGGAUGUACACGGGUCCCAGCUGACCCGCCCAGCCUCACCCUCCGCAAAUGCUGCCCAGGGCUGGUAACAAAGGGCCCUCACAGUUUUCCCUGCCCUCCGCCUACUGGCAUCUGAUCCCAGUCAGCAAAUGUUUAGCUACUGUUCAGUCAAAACAUGUUUAUUUUCU